RNAcentral lists this ribosomal RNA (391 nucleotides) under uncultured Achromobacter sp. RNAcentral's name for it is "bacterial SSU rRNA". It matches the Rfam family "Bacterial small subunit ribosomal RNA", at positions 958 to 1354 of the family's 1533-position model. The record is from RNAcentral. Lineage: Bacteria; Pseudomonadati; Pseudomonadota; Betaproteobacteria; Burkholderiales; Alcaligenaceae.
AACGCGAAGAACCUUACCUACCCUUGACAUGUCUGGAAUGCCGAAGAGAUUUGGCAGUGCUCGCAAGAGAACCGGAACACAGGUGCUGCAUGGCUGUCGUCAGCUCGUGUCGUGAGAUGUUGGGUUAAGUCCCGCAACGAGCGCAACCCUUGUCAUUAGUUGCUACGAAAGGGCACUCUAAUGAGACUGCCGGUGACAAACCGGAGGAAGGUGGGGAUGACGUCAAGUCCUCAUGGCCCUUAUGGGUAGGGCUUCACACGUCAUACAAUGGUCGGGACAGAGGGUCGCCAACCCGCGAGGGGGAGCCAGUCCCAGAAACCCGAUCGUAGUCCGGAUCGCAGUCUGCAACUCGACUGCGUGAAGUCGGAAUCGCUAGUAAUCGCGAUCAGCA